Long non-coding RNA from Peromyscus leucopus (white-footed mouse), 506 nucleotides. RefSeq lists it as uncharacterized. The transcript has 2 exons. The record is from RefSeq and is a predicted model, not a curated record. Lineage: Eukaryota; Metazoa; Chordata; Mammalia; Rodentia; Cricetidae.
GCCGCAGAGAGAGAGGAAGGGGAAGGAUGCCUCGUAGCGCCCGCUCUGGUUAGGUCUCAGACGGGAGAAGAAAGUGACCAGGAACUGCAGGCCCGAGCUCCCCGCGACCUCGCCAAGGCUACAGCCAAGUUGCGCAGUGACCUGCAAGGAGGCCACAUCCUUCCACACCGGAAACAGGUCACACAGACGAUCCAGCGCCUGGUGCUUUGGGUUCCGGCGGCAGCACGUGUUCGGCGGGGCGGGGCCCCGUGCCCCGCCCCCGGGGAGGAGCCACACUGUGUGGACCCCGCCCCCACCCCGCCCUUCCCCGCGUCGAAGUAACCAGGCACAGGCAGUGAGUGUGCAUUUGAACUUUAUUCACACCGAGCGCUGUCACCUCUGUCCACACGUCGGAGGGAGCGCCUGCGGCAGGGACGCCGGAGAGGUCCAGGAUCCGCCCCAGGGGGCUACCGGCCUCGCCAAGGCGGGACUUUUGUUUUUAAUAAAUAAAAACAACUCUAAAAAUA